RNAcentral lists this transfer RNA (65 nucleotides) under Cranuca inversa. Its description in RNAcentral is "tRNA-Tyr". It matches the Rfam family "tRNA". Rfam says of the family: Transfer RNA (tRNA) molecules are approximately 80 nucleotides in length. Their secondary structure includes four short double-helical elements and three loops (D, anti-codon, and T loops). Further hydrogen bonds mediate the characteristic L-shaped molecular structure. tRNAs have two regions of fundamental functional importance: the anti-codon, which is responsible for specific mRNA codon recognition, and the 3' end, to which the tRNAs corresponding amino acid is attached (by aminoacyl-tRNA synthetases). tRNAs cope with the degeneracy of the genetic code in two manners: having more than one tRNA (with a specific anti-codon) for a particular amino acid; and 'wobble' base-pairing, i.e. permitting non-standard base-pairing at the 3rd anti-codon position. Lineage: Eukaryota; Metazoa; Arthropoda; Malacostraca; Decapoda; Ocypodidae. The record is from RNAcentral.
AAUAAAGUGGCUGAGUUGUAGGCGGUAGAUUGUAAAUCUAAAGACAAGUGGUUACUUCUUUAUUA